GAUCUCCUCUACACGGAAGCGUCGGCCCCUUUCCUGGCCAGCUACAUCCUGGGCCUCCGCACUUCAGAGCUGUGUGUUGGAACCGGGAGAACUCAGAGCUCCUCCCGGGAACGCGGCUGCCGGCUCAGGAGCUUGCUUGGCGUCGCCGUCGAGCUCGGGAGCUCUGCUGGGAAUCCGGGGUUCAGCGGCGCCCCAGGCUCCCGCUCGCUGCGCACCCCGCACCGCCACCGCGCGCGCCUCUCCGCGCGUCCACGGGGGCGCGGGGCCACCCUCACCUCUCCGGCCCGCGCGGUGGCGGAGGCCUCCAGGGAGCGUCCCCGGGGCAGUGACAGCCGCGCCCCCGCGCCUUCCGGGCUCCGGCCGCGGCCUCGGACUCCAUGGUGCCAGCGGAGCCCGCGCCCCCUGCUGCGGCGCCGGCCUCCGAGCGCGCCUGGAUCCACUCGGGCUAGCGCGCUCACCUACCCGCGCGCCAGGUUUAAAAACGGGGGCGGGGCGGCGCGGGCAACCACCGGGAGGGGGCAGGACCCGAGGAGCUCCGGGAAGGGUGCUGAGGGGGCCGCAGAGCGCAGAGGGAAAGCCCGGGGCGGAGGAGCGGAGAGGUCCAGAAAAGUUCCGGGAGGGGACCAGGGAGCCGGGAAUGGGGAGGGGACGAGAAAAGCUCGAGGAGGUGGCGCCGGGUGUCAAAGAGGGGAGUCCGGCAGCCCCGGGCAAGGGUGGGGACGGGACAAAGAAAAGCCGGGGAGGGGGCACCAGGGAAAGGGUGACCAGAGUAGGGAGGUACCAGAGAUUGGGGCCACGGGCUCGGGCUGGAGACAGCGGGAAGUGACCCAAGGACGCGGGAGAGGAAAGCGAGGCCCGCGGGCGAGGGGCGUUUCCGUCGGGCGCACUCCCUCGGGGACUGAGGGGACCCGCGCUCACCCGCUGGGCUUCCCCUGCCGGAUGUGGGAUGUGAGGAGUCCCGGCUUCUCCGUCCCUCCGUGGUCCCCGCGGCCUCGGGCUUUGGUCCUGUGCGAGCAUCAGGUUCCCUGGGUUUCUGGGGAAUCUCGCUUCUACCGCCUUAGAGCGGCCACGGGGCUUGGGGGACAUCCACUGAAUCCUCAGGUCCGCUUGGACCGACCUUGCCUUCGGUGCUGGACAGCGGGCUCCCGGACGCCCGGACGCCAGGACUCGAACCCGUGGCGAAGCGGGUGGGGUGGAGCGCGGCGACCCUUCCAGGAGACAGAAUGCCAGGGAUGGAACCGAGCAAGAGGGAUGCUACGAGCACACCUUUCCCACCCUUGGCGGCCUUGGAAAGCAAGCGAAUUUUUAAUAAAGCCGGGAGCGGCGGGCUUCUCCUUCGGUUAG
RNAcentral lists this long non-coding RNA (1344 nucleotides) under Papio anubis (olive baboon). Its description in RNAcentral is "lncRNA (ENSPANG00000039628.1)". The record is from RNAcentral. Lineage: Eukaryota; Metazoa; Chordata; Mammalia; Primates; Cercopithecidae.